RNAcentral lists this long non-coding RNA (489 nucleotides) under Homo sapiens (human). Its description in RNAcentral is "non-protein coding lnc-FAM122C-3:4". Lineage: Eukaryota; Metazoa; Chordata; Mammalia; Primates; Hominidae. The record is from RNAcentral.
GCCUUACCCUCCCAAAGUGCUGGGAUUACAGGAGUGAGCCAUUGUACCCGGCCUUAUGCAGCUUUUAAAAUCAAUUUUAUUGAGGUAUAAUUUACGUAGUACAAAUUGCAGCCAUUUUAAGCUUACAACUAAGAUACAGACCAUUUCCUUUGCCACAGAAAAUGUCCACUGCCCCUUUGCAGUUAAUCCUCCUCCACACUCACUGCUGGCUCCAGGCUACACUGAUCUACUUUUCAUCACUGUAGAUUAGAUUUUCUUUUUAUAGAACUUCAUAUAUAUGUAAUCACACAAUAUGUACUCUUUUGUGUCUGGUUAUUUUUGCCUGGAAUAAUGUCUUUGAGAUCCAUCUGUGUUGCUUCCUCCAUCAGUAGUUCAUUACUUUUUAUUGCCAAAUCAUAUUUCACUGUAUAUAUGGUACAAUUUGUUUAUCCAUUCAUGUGUUGAUGGACAUUUGGGUUAUUUCCAGUUGAGAGUUGUUACUAAUAAAGC